This 403-nucleotide ribosomal RNA is filed under the name uncultured organism. RNAcentral's name for it is "bacterial SSU rRNA". It matches the Rfam family "Bacterial small subunit ribosomal RNA", at positions 355 to 775 of the family's 1533-position model. The record is from RNAcentral.
UGGGGAAUAUUGGACAAUGGGGGCAACCCUGAUCCAGCAAUGCCGCGUGAGUGAUGAAGGCCUUAGGGUUGUAAAGCUCUUUCGCCCGAGACGAUGAUGACGGUAUCGGGAGAAGAAGCCCCGGCUAAUUUCGUGCCAGCAGCCGCGGUAAUACGAAAGGGGCUAGCGUUGUUCGGAGUUACUGGGCGUAAAGCGCGCGCAGGCGGCUGAUCAAGUGAGGCGUGAAAGGCCUGGGCUCAACCUGGGAAUGGCGCAUCAGACUGGUUGGCUGGAGUCCGGGAGAGGGUGGUGGAAUUCCCAGUGUAGAGGUGAAAUUCGUAGAUAUUGGGAGGAACACCGGUGGCGAAGGCGGCCACCUGGCCCGGUACUGACGCUAUAGCGCGAAAGCGUGGGGAGCAAACAG